GCAGGGAAAGGGGGGGCGCACCCUAGGUGGGCCUUGGGCCUCAUCUGCGCCUAGGGUUUCCCCCUCCCCCUUCUCUGGUGCGUAUGGGCUGGGUGGGGGGCGCACCAGCCCACCUAGGGGCUGGUUCCCUUCCCCACUUAGCCCAUCUAGCCUCCCGGGGUCGUUGCCCCCCUUCGGUGGUCCCCCGGGGCCACCUCCGAUGGUCCCGGUGGUCCCGGUACGUUACCGGUGACGCCCGAAACACUUCCGGUGUCCAAAACCAUCCGUCCUAUAU
This 274-nucleotide long non-coding RNA is filed under the name Hordeum vulgare. Its description in RNAcentral is "long non-coding RNA (HVUL_LNC014194)". Lineage: Eukaryota; Viridiplantae; Streptophyta; Magnoliopsida; Poales; Poaceae. The record is from RNAcentral.